GGGAGAGCGCCAGAGUCGGAGAACUGGGGCGGUCUGUAAAACCGUUGCCUGACGGCUGAGUGUGUUCGACUCACACCUCUCCCA
This 84-nucleotide transfer RNA is filed under the name Caudoviricetes sp. RNAcentral's name for it is "tRNA-Tyr". Lineage: Duplodnaviria; Heunggongvirae; Uroviricota; Caudoviricetes. The record is from RNAcentral.